RNAcentral lists this ribosomal RNA (484 nucleotides) under uncultured bacterium. RNAcentral's name for it is "partial 16S ribosomal RNA". It matches the Rfam family "Bacterial small subunit ribosomal RNA", at positions 29 to 507 of the family's 1533-position model. The record is from RNAcentral.
AUUGAACGCUGGCGGCAGGCCUAACACAUGCAAGUCGAGCGGAAGAAGGGAGCGUGCUCCCGGAUACAGGGGCGGAGGGGUGAGUAAGGCCGGGGAAUCUCCGUGUUUGCGGGUUAUAACGGCCGAAAAUGGGCGAAAAUACCGCAUACGUCCAGAGGGCGAACGGGGGGGAGCUGGGGACCUCACGCUCUCAGAUGAGCCGAGGUCGGAUUAGCUAGUUGGUGGGGUAAAGGCCUACCAAGGCGACGAUCCGUAGCUGGUCUGAGAGGAUGAUCAGUCACACUGGAACUGAGACACGGUCCAGACUCCUACGGGAGGCAGCAGUGGGGAAUAUUGGACAAUGGGCGCAAGCCUGAUCCAGCCAUGCCGCGUGUGUGAAGAAGGUCUUCGGAUUGUAAAGCACUUUUAGUUGGGAGGAAGAGCAGUAAGUUAAUACCUUGCUGUUUUGACGGUACCCAAAGAAUAAGCACCGGCUAACUUCGUG